Electrophorus electricus (electric eel) is the source of this 262-nucleotide long non-coding RNA. RefSeq lists it as uncharacterized. The record is from RefSeq and is a predicted model, not a curated record. Lineage: Eukaryota; Metazoa; Chordata; Actinopteri; Gymnotiformes; Gymnotidae.
GUGCGCUUGAACACGGAGAAGGGCGUAGCGCUCUUGCAACAAACUCCUGCCAUAUGCAUUACCCUGCGGGUCGUCGACUACAGAUAUUGGGACGCUCGUACGGUGUUGUGCAUUGUUCCUGGAUCGUGCCUCUAGAAAAGACGUCCCGAGUGCUGCCUCGAGAUCUACUGCAGCGCUGUUUCCUUUCUGUUUUUAGCAAGCUCACCGCUCUGCUCUUUUGUUUCCUUUUGCUAAUGGAGAAUAAAGACAUUCCAAACUUGCA